Molecule: ribosomal RNA, 459 nt
Filed under: uncultured bacterium
Lineage: Bacteria
Description: bacterial SSU rRNA
Rfam family: Bacterial small subunit ribosomal RNA
Source: RNAcentral
UACGUCAGGCCUUGACGGUACCUGCAGAAUAAGCACCGGCUAACUUCCUGCCAGCAGCCGCGGUAAUACCAAGGGUGCAAGCGUUAAUCGGAUUUACUGGGCGUAAAGCGUGCGUAGGCGGUUCAGUAUGUCGGUCGUGAAAUCCCCGGGCUUAACCUGGGAAUUGCGGCCGAAACUGCUGGGCUAGAGUGUGGUAGAGGGCGGUGGAAUUCCAGGUGUAGCGGUGAAAUGCGUAGAUAUCUGGAGGAACACCAAUGGCGAAGGCAGCCGCCUGGGCCAUAACUGACGCUGAGGUACGAAAGCGUGGGGAGCAAACAGGAUUAGAUACCCUGGUAGUCCACGCUGUAAACGAUGAGAACUAGACGUUGGUCAGCUUGGCUGAUCGGUGUCNUANCUAACGCGCUAAGUUCUCCGCCUGGGGAGUACGGCCGCAAGGUUGAAACUCAAAUGAAUUGACGG